RNAcentral lists this ribosomal RNA (454 nucleotides) under uncultured Enterobacteriaceae bacterium. Its description in RNAcentral is "bacterial SSU rRNA". It matches the Rfam family "Bacterial small subunit ribosomal RNA", at positions 927 to 1382 of the family's 1533-position model. Lineage: Bacteria; Pseudomonadati; Pseudomonadota; Gammaproteobacteria; Enterobacterales; Enterobacteriaceae. The record is from RNAcentral.
AAGCGGUGGAGCAUGUGGUUUAAUUCGAUGCAACGCGAAGAACCUUACCUGGUCUUGACAUCCACGGAAGUUUUCAGAGAUGAGAAUGUGCCUUCGGGAACCGUGAGACAGGUGCUGCAUGGCUGUCGUCAGCUCGUGUUGUGAAAUGUUGGGUUAAGUCCCGCAACGAGCGCAACCCUUAUCCUUUGUUGCCAGCGGUCCGGCCGGGAACUCAAAGGAGACUGCCAGUGAUAAACUGGAGGAAGGUGGGAUGACGUCAAGUCAUCAUGGCCCUUACGACCAGGGCUACACACGUGCUACAAUGGCGCAUACAAAGAGAAGCGACCUCGCGAGAGCAAGCGGACCUCAUAAAGUGCGUCGUAGUCCGGAUUGGAGUCUGCAACUCGACUCCAUGAAGUCGGAAUCGCUAGUAAUCGUGGAUCAGAAUGCCACGGUGAAUACGUUCCCGGGCCUU